Molecule: small nuclear RNA, 107 nt
Filed under: Cervus elaphus hippelaphus
Lineage: Eukaryota; Metazoa; Chordata; Mammalia; Artiodactyla; Cervidae
Source: RNAcentral
GUGCUUGCUUUGGCAGCACAUAUACUAAAAUUGAAGUGAUACAGAGAAGAUUAGCAUGGCCCCUGUGCAAGGAUAACACACAGAUUUGUGAAGCAUUCCAUAUUUUU